GAGGAAGGCUGGAGGAUGAUCACGUGGCAGGAGGGGCGGUGCUCCUGGCGGUUCCUGGGCUCCGAGCUGGGAACCAGGGUACCUACCAUGCCAAGCAGUGCGCUGAUAAUUUAUGCAAGCGAAACGCCUAUAUGCAUAAUGCCUCUAGCUGGGACCACACCCUGCCACCUGAGACACAGAGGCCAACGGUGAGGAAAGCAGGCGGAAUGGAAAUGCCCCUUUAACCAUCCAAGAACCAGAGAAAAGCCACAGGCUCCAGGAAGGUUCAAAGGGCAGAGGGAGGGCCUGGUGAACUCGAAGUCUCCAAACAGUAGCUUGGACAUGCCCAUUGGGGCAGGGCAAAGACAGCAUCCCGCACAGGGACUUCUUUGGCAUUUAUGUUGGACAGUCACCCCGAGCUCUCUGACUACAGGCCUGGAAAGUCUCUACAGUUAGUACUGAGAAGAGUGGGAGCUCGGUGAGAUUCCACGGUGGGGGGAUCCAGGCAGGGAGACUGGGCCUGCAGUUAGAGCUGCUUGUCUUUCUGGAUCAGGAACUCAGAAAUCAGAUACUGGCUUGACCUGCCUUCAAAGUAGGAUUGACCGUAGGUAUGUUGGGAUGGUUGGGCAUUUCCUGAAAAUAACGUUUUCCCUACCCUACUCACUGAUCCCUAGCAUUCCUUUAACAGGGAGCCAAGACUUGCGUUACAGAGCAAAUUUAAAGUGGCUCGGGAAGAGAAACUCUAGACAGAGGAAGAGGAAGUGUGUGUGUGUUGGGGGGGGGGGGGGCUCGAGCACACGCGCGCAUGCCCUUCUUGUACGGUGGUCAUGUUUUGCUCAUGCCCAUGCGCAUGAGGGAAUAAAUCAGCUUCCUCUAUCACAAAAA
RNAcentral lists this long non-coding RNA (864 nucleotides) under Mus musculus (house mouse). Its description in RNAcentral is "predicted gene, 46609 (Gm46609)". The record is from RNAcentral. Lineage: Eukaryota; Metazoa; Chordata; Mammalia; Rodentia; Muridae.